GAGAGGUGUUGUAGAGUGGUGUUGUGAUGUGUUGGGAAACAGAGAGGUGUUGUGGUGUGUUGGGAGACAGAGAGAGGUGUUGUAGAGAUGUGUUGUGAAGUAUUGGGAAAUACAGAGGUGUUGGGGUGUGUUGGGAGACGGAGAGAGAAGUUGUGAUGUGUCGGGAGACAGAGAGAGGUGUUGUGGUGUGUUGGGAGACGGAGAGAGAAGUUGUGAUGUGUCGGGAGACAGAGAGAGGUGUUGUGGUGUGUUGGGCGACAGGCAGCAGGGUAGCCUAGUGGUUAGAGCGU
Oncorhynchus tshawytscha (Chinook salmon) is the source of this 290-nucleotide long non-coding RNA. NCBI's taxonomy places the organism in Eukaryota, Metazoa, Chordata, Actinopteri, Salmoniformes, Salmonidae. The record is from Ensembl.